AGCAAAUGGGAAAUGUGUCUCUAUAUCAUUAUGCUGAAAUCUAUCUCUUUGUUACAGGCUUUCAGAAGCUGCUGGAUCCUCUUCACUCUGGCUUGCUGAUAGUUUUAUCUUGCAGCAUUAUUCUGAACGUUGCUCUCAUUUGUAUAAGAUGUAAACUGACCUGUACACACUGUGCAGAUGAAAAGAACAGUGAUAUAUCAAAAGUGGAAUGGUCACGCAAGCAAUGCCAUGACGAGGACACACUGAAUUACGCUGCCCUGAACCUUAAGAAGCCAAAACCCAGGAGACAGAAGAAAGACGGGAAUAAUGAC
This is a long non-coding RNA of Brienomyrus brachyistius, 311 nucleotides long. RefSeq lists it as uncharacterized. NCBI's taxonomy places the organism in Eukaryota, Metazoa, Chordata, Actinopteri, Osteoglossiformes, Mormyridae. The transcript has 3 exons. The record is from RefSeq and is a predicted model, not a curated record.